CCCACUUGUCCUACUCCGAAAGCCUCAAAAACCUAAAGUUGCCCACUCUCGAGGAGAGAAGGGAAUUGUUAUGCAGAUCUUUUCACAAAAACAAUUAUAGUGACACUUCGAGCAAAAUUUUUAAUCUAUUACCUGAACCUUUAGAUCAUCAGUACAAUCUUAGACAUUCCCGAUCUAUCUCACUUUUUAAAACCCGAACUAAACGCUAUAAUGAUAGUCUUUUGCCAUAUUGCGUACGCAAAUGGAACUCUUUUUAACCUUUUAGGCUUCUAUAGAUUAAUAUAUCAUUUGUAAAUUAGCAAUCCUACGUUAUUGUAAUUAGUAUUACCAGCGUAUCUAUAAUCUGUAUAUACGUAUUUUGUUCUACUAUUUUUAAACUAUGUAAACUUGUGUUUUUCAGUUCGAUUUUG
Non-coding RNA from Paramuricea clavata, 410 nucleotides. The record is from the annotation of a GenBank genome assembly. Lineage: Eukaryota; Metazoa; Cnidaria; Anthozoa; Malacalcyonacea; Plexauridae.